RNAcentral lists this ribosomal RNA (1261 nucleotides) under metagenome. RNAcentral describes it as "bacterial SSU rRNA". It matches the Rfam family "Bacterial small subunit ribosomal RNA", at positions 245 to 1520 of the family's 1533-position model. The record is from RNAcentral.
GUAGUUGGUAGGGUAAUGGCCUACCAAGCCGACGAUGGGUAGCCGGCCUGAGAGGGUGAACGGCCACAAGGGGACUGAGACACGGCCCUUACUCCUACGGGAGGCAGCAGUGGGGAAUAUUGGACAAUGCACCAAAAGUCUGAUCCAGCAAUUCUGUGUGCACGAUGAAGGUCUUCGGAUUGUAAAGUGCUUUCAGGUGGAAAGAAGAAAGUGACGGUACCACCAGAAGAAGCGACGGCUAAAUACGUGCCAGCAGCCGCGGUAAUACGUAUGUCGCAAGCGUUAUCCGGAAUAAUUGGGCGUAAAGCGAGUCUAGGCGGCUUGUUAAGUCAGAUGUGAAAAUGCGGGGCUCAACUCCGUAUUGCGUUUGAAACUGGCAGGCUAGAGUACUGGAGAGGUGGGCGGAACUACAAGUGUAGAGGUGAAAUUCGUAGAUAUUUGUAGGAAUGCCGAUAGUGAAGACAGCUCACUGGACAGAUACUGACGCUAAAGCUCGAAAGCGUGGGGAGCGAACAGGAUUAGAUACCCUGGUAGUCCACGCCGUAAACGAUGUUCACUGGAUGUAGGGGGUCGAACCUCUGUGUCGAAGCUAACGCGAUAAGUGAACCGCCUGGGGAGUACGCACGCAAGUGUGAAACUCAAAGGAAUUGACGGGGACCCGCACAAGCGGUGGAGCAUGUGGUUUAAUUCGACGCAACGCGAGGAACCUUACCAGCACUUGACAUACAACGAACUCGUCAGAGAUGACUUGGUGCCGCUUCGGUGGAACGUUGAUACAGGUGGUGCAUGGCUGUCGUCAGCUCGUGUCGUGAGAUUUGGGUUAAGUCCCGCAACGAGCGCAACCCCUAUCGUAUGUUACCAUCAUUAAGUUGGGGACUCAUGCGAGACUGCCUGCGACGAGCAGGAGGAAGGUGGGGAUGACGUCAAGUCAUCAUGCCCCUUAUGUGCUGGGCUACACACGUGCUACAAUGGUUGGUACAGAGAGCAGCAAUACGGCGACGUGGAGCAAAUCUCAGAAAGCCAAUCUUAGUUCGGAUCGCAGUCUGCAACUCGACUGCGUGAAGUUGGAAUCGCUAGUAAUCGCGAAUCAGCAAUGUCGCGGUGAAUACGUUCUCGGGUCUUGUACACACCGCCCGUCACACCACGAGAGUUGGUUGCACCUAAAGUAGCAGGCCUAACCUUUAUGGAGGGAUGUUCCUAAGGUGUGAUUAGCGAUUGGGGUGAAGUCGUAACAAGGUAUCCGUACCGGAAGGUGCGGAUG